RNAcentral lists this ribosomal RNA (484 nucleotides) under uncultured bacterium. RNAcentral's name for it is "bacterial SSU rRNA". It matches the Rfam family "Bacterial small subunit ribosomal RNA", at positions 17 to 518 of the family's 1533-position model. The record is from RNAcentral.
UCCUGGCUCAGGACGAACGCUGGCGGCGUGCUUAACACAUGCAAGUCGAGCGAUGAAGCUCUUCGGAAGUGGAUUAGCGGCGGACGGGUGAGUAACACGUGGGUAACCGGCCUCAUAGAGGGGAAUAGCCUUUCGAAAGGAAGAUUUAUACCGCAUAAGAUUGUAGUACCGCAUGGUACAGCAAUUAAAGGAGUAAUCCGCUAUGAGAUGGACCCGCGUCGCAUUAGCUAGUUGGUGAGGUAACGGCUCACCAAGGCGACGAUGCGUAGCCGACCUGAGAGGGUGAUCGGCCACAUUGGGACUGAGACACGGCCCAGACUCCUACGGGAGGCAGCAGUGGGGAAUAUUGCACAAUGGGGGAAACCCUGAUGCCAGCAACGCCGCGUGAGUGAUGACGGUCUUCGGAUUGUAAAGCUCUGUCUUUAGGGACGAUAAUGACGGUACCUAAGGAGGAAGCCACGGCUAACUACGUGCCAGCCGCCGC